GAUGAAGAACGCAGCGAAAUGCGAUAAGUAGUGUGAAUUGCAGAAUUCAGUGAAUCAUCGAAUCUUUGAACGCACAUUGCGCCCUUUGGUAUUCCUUAGGGCAUGCCUGUUCGAGCGUCAUUUAAACCUUCAAGCUAAGCUUGGUGUUGGGUGACUGUCCGCUUCACGGCGGACUCGCCUCAAAAUUAUUGGCGGCCGGUACAUUGGCUUCGAGCGCAGCAGAAACGCGAACUCGGGCCCGUCGUAUUGGCUCCCAGAAGCUAUCUUCACAAUUUUGACCUCGGAUCAGGUAGGGAUACCCGCUGAACUUAAGCAUAUCAAUAAGCGGAGGC
This 332-nucleotide unclassified non-coding RNA is filed under the name soil metagenome. RNAcentral describes it as "partial contains 5.8S ribosomal RNA, internal transcribed spacer 2, and large subunit ribosomal RNA". The stretch from base 1 to 120 matches the Rfam family "5.8S ribosomal RNA", at positions 35 to 154 of the family's 154-position model. The record is from RNAcentral.